CUCGGAAGCUAAGCAGGCUCAGGCCUGGUUAGUACUUGGAUGGGAGACCGCCUGGGAAUGCCAGGUGCCGUAGGCUU
RNAcentral lists this ribosomal RNA (77 nucleotides) under Potamotrygon falkneri (largespot river stingray). The record is from RNAcentral. Lineage: Eukaryota; Metazoa; Chordata; Chondrichthyes; Myliobatiformes; Potamotrygonidae.